RNAcentral lists this small RNA (463 nucleotides) under Chaetomellaceae sp. KL403. RNAcentral's name for it is "eukaryotic LSU rRNA". The stretch from base 122 to 275 matches the Rfam family "5.8S ribosomal RNA". The record is from RNAcentral. Lineage: Eukaryota; Fungi; Ascomycota; Leotiomycetes; Chaetomellales; Chaetomellaceae.
GGAUCAUUACAGAGAUUGUCGAAAGACGAACUCCCGUUCUUGUUUUUGUCACAUUGCCUUGCUCGAAAGAGCAGCAACAAUUUUUAUUAUCUUGAUGUCUGAGUUACUAUUUAAUAGUUAAAACUUUCAACAACGGAUCUCUUGGUUCUGGCAUCGAUGAAGAACGCAGCGAAAUGCGAUAAGUAAUGUGAAUUGCAGAAUUCAGUGAAUCAUCGAAUCUUUGAACGCACAUUGCGCCCUUUGGUAUUCCGAAGGGCAUGCCUGUUCGAGCGUCAUUACAACCUCAAGCCUUGCUUGGUGAUGAGAGAUAUGGUCUUCGGGCUAUACUUUCUAAAAUCAGUGGUGAUGUCUUAUCAACUCACAUGUAGUACUAUAUCUCAUGACGACGACAUAAGACCCCCCCAUAAACUUCUAUGUUUGACCUCGGAUCAGGUAGGGAUACCCGCUGAACUUAAGCAUAUCA